This 480-nucleotide ribosomal RNA is filed under the name uncultured bacterium. Its description in RNAcentral is "partial 16S ribosomal RNA". It matches the Rfam family "Bacterial small subunit ribosomal RNA", at positions 28 to 523 of the family's 1533-position model. The record is from RNAcentral.
GACGAACGCUGGCGGCGUGCUUAACACAUGCAAGUCGAGCGAUGAAGCACCUUCGGGUGUGGAUUAGCGGCGAACGGGUGAGGAACACGUGAGGAAUCUGCCUUCCACUCUGGGAUAACUCCGGGAAACCGGGGCUAAUACCGGAUAUUUUCAACUGGCGGCAUCGCCGGUUGAAGAAAGUUUUUCGGUGGAAGAUGACCUCGCGGCCUAUCAGCUUGUUGGUGCGGUAAAGGCUCACCAAGGCGACGACGGGUAGCCGGCCUGAGAGGGUGACCGGCCACACUGGGACUGAGACACGGACCAGACUCCUACGGGAGGCAGCAGUGGGGAAUAUUGGGCAAUGGAGGAAACUCUGACCCAGCGACGCCGCGUGAGGGAUGAAGGCCUUCGGGUUGUAAACCUCUUUCAGCAGGGAAUAAGCGAAAGUGAAGGUACCUGCAGAAGAAGCACCGGCUAACUAUGUGCCAGCCGCCGCAGUAA